GACGAACGCUGGCGGCGUGCUUAACACAUGCAAGUCGAGCGGUAAGGCCCUUUCGGGGGUACACGAGCGGCGAACGGGUGAGUAACACGUGGGUGACCUGCCCUCAGCUCUGGGAUAAGCCUGGGAAACCGGGCCUAAUACUGGAUAUGACUCCAUGACGCAUGUUGUGGGGUGGAAAGCCUUGUGCGGCUGAGGAUGGGCCCGCGGCCUAUCAGCUUGUUGGUGGGGUGANGGCCUACCAAGGCGACGACGGGUAGCCGGCCUGAGAGGGCGACCGGCCACACUGGGACUGAGACACGGCCCAGACUCCUACGGGAGGCAGCAGUGGGGAAUCUUGCGCAAUGGGCGAAAGCCUGACGCAGCGACGCCGCGUGAGGGAUGACGGCCU
Molecule: ribosomal RNA, 388 nt
Filed under: uncultured bacterium
Lineage: Bacteria
Description: bacterial SSU rRNA
Rfam family: Bacterial small subunit ribosomal RNA
Source: RNAcentral